CCUACGGGUGGCAGCAGUGGGGAAUAUUGGGCAAUGGAGGCGACUCUGACCCAGCAACGCCGCGUGAAUGAUGACGGUCUUCGGAUUGUUAAACUUCGUGUUUCGGGAUGCACACAAUGACGCUACUCCAAUAGCCAGCCACGGCUAACUACGUGCCAGCAGCCGCCGUAAUUCCGAGGUCGCAAGCUUUAUCCGGAAUGACUGGGGUUAAAGGGUUCGUAGGUGGUUUAGUAAGUUAGUGGUGAAAUUCCGGGGGCCAACAUCGGUGUUACCGCCGAAACUAUUAGACUCGAGUGCGGGAGAAGUAAGUGGAAUGCGUGGUGUAGCGGUGAAAUGCAUAGAUAUUAGGAAGAACACCGGGGGCGAAGGCGACAUACUGGAGCGUAACUGACGCUGAGGCACGAAAGCGUGGGGAGCGAACAGGAUUAGAUACCCCGGUAGUC
RNAcentral lists this ribosomal RNA (443 nucleotides) under uncultured bacterium. Its description in RNAcentral is "partial 16S ribosomal RNA". It matches the Rfam family "Bacterial small subunit ribosomal RNA", at positions 338 to 795 of the family's 1533-position model. The record is from RNAcentral.